GAAACUCCUUCAAGAGAGAAAAUAAUAGAGCACCAAGAGAGAGACAAGAGCUUGAGAGAACUCAGAAAAAGCUGCACAUUCGGUUUUGACUACGAGAAGAGAAAAUAAAGUGUCGCGAUUCUACGAACUUUCUUCUUCUUCGAACAGUUGUAGACUCCUUCCCUCGCCAAGGAUUCAUCUUUUCUUCGUACAUUCGGGCUUAAUUUCAGUCGUCAGGCAGAAAAAUGGCAAAAUCCGAAGCAAGACGCCUCUACCUUGGUCUUUAGAUGUAUAGGCACCAACAUGCUUGGAAAUGACGGCAACAUGGCUACGUCGUAUGAGGGGUGCAUGGGGGAUGCUGCUUGGAUAGCCAAAAGUGUCUGAGAUGGGUCCCCUGCCAUGUUGAACAAGUGCAGCACGCUACCACGAGCACCUUGCUUUGCCGAGAGGAUCUGCAUACUGGCACUGUGUGUCGUAUGUACUGUGCACUCGUGCGCACAGGGACAUGCUCUUGGGCACGUAAUCGUGCCGAGGCACAUGCCCUACUAGACAGGCUAUUAUUAUGCACAGUAGGCAUGUUUACCAUGCUGGCUCGACAGGUAUAUGCCAAGGGGUUUUCGCGAGUUUGGGCAUUGUGUGCCACAGUGCGGGUUUAAGGAGAAAGUCUCCCAUAUGCGAGCUGGCUUAUUUUAUAUUUUAAAGUGAAGGAAAUGGACGAAUUAAAAUUAACUAAAAAAUAAUUGGGAAUUUAAAAUGGAAAAAGUAAGAUGUGUAAAAUUAAGGAAACAAAAGACGAGAUAAAUUAAAGAGGAAAGUUUAAUGAAAUUUUGGGAACAAAUAAUUAAGGAAAAAAUAGUUAAAUUAAAGUAAAAUUGAGAAAAUAAAUGGAAUUAUGUAACUUAAGAAAAUUAGAAGAAAUAGAAGGAAGGGAUGACUUGGUAGGUCUUCUAGUUGUAAGGCUAGAAGUUUGUAUGUUUUGUAAGUUAUCUAGGAUUUUGUAAAAUAGAACGAAUAAUUGUAAUGCCUCAGUAUACUCCAGUUUGUAUAUUUAUGUAAGG
Carica papaya (papaya) is the source of this 1037-nucleotide long non-coding RNA. RefSeq lists it as uncharacterized. NCBI's taxonomy places the organism in Eukaryota, Viridiplantae, Streptophyta, Magnoliopsida, Brassicales, Caricaceae. The record is from RefSeq and is a predicted model, not a curated record.